RNAcentral lists this ribosomal RNA (484 nucleotides) under uncultured bacterium. RNAcentral describes it as "partial 16S ribosomal RNA". It matches the Rfam family "Bacterial small subunit ribosomal RNA", at positions 30 to 507 of the family's 1533-position model. The record is from RNAcentral.
AUUGAACGCUGGCGGCAGGCCUAACACAUGCAAGUCGAGCGGAUGAAGGGAGCUUGCUCCUGGAUUCAGCGGCGGACGGGUGAGUAAUGCCUAGGAAUCUGCCUGGUAGUGGGGGAUAGCGUCCGGAAACGGGCGCUAAUACCGCAUACGUCCUGAGGUAGAAAGGGGGGGAUCUUCGGACCUCACGCUACCAGAUGAGCCUAGGCGGGAUUAGCUAGUUGGUGGGGUAAAGGCCUACCAAGGCGACGAUCCGAAACUGGUCUGAGAGGAUGAUCAGUCACACUGGAACUGAGACACGGUCCAGACUCCUACGGGAGGCAGCAGUGGGGAAUAUUGGGCAAUGGGCGAAAGCCUGAUCCAGCCAUGCCGCGUGUGUGAAGAAGGUCUUCGGAUUGUAAAGCACUUUUAGUUGGGAGGAAGGGCAGUAAGUUAAUACCUUGCUGUUUUGACGUUACCAACAGAAUAAGCACCGGCUAACUUCGUG